CACAUGACCGGUGACCGAGUAAACAGGAAGCCAUAAAAAGUUUGCCGUCAGUUCAAGAAAGUCUCUCUUGGCUGCUUGUCACUGGUCUUCUCCCUCUCACAAAGGGCGAGUGCAAGACGAGAGUUUACCAUUGACGGAGGAAAACUCUCCCGACAGGCACAAGACCGGAGCUUAAUGUACACAACCGGCCCAGCUACCCGGGAUAUUAAGUGACCAUUUCCCCGGCAGGAUUAAGCCGAGUUGGAAACCUACUCUGUGGAAGUAUGCCUUGUUUUUAACUCUUUCAUUUUAUAUUGAGUUGGUGAAUGAGGCUGGCAACUAACAUGUUAUGUUGUUUCCUUUUCAAAAGGACCAGGCCAGCCACUGUCCUAUAGUGUUUCUUGUGUAUUUUCUUACCCAUUUUCUUCAUGUGCAGUGUAUGGCAGUAUAAUCAUUUUAAUAUUUGUGUCGUAGGUUGCGCUCCUCUGCGGCGUAGGCCUGGGCCCGGGUGGAACGCUGCCUGCCUUCAGUGUAGGGACUGCACGGUGUGACACUUUAUUUUCUGUAUGCUAAAUAACUCACUGUUAUUAUUUUAUAGAGAUUGUGGUUUAAAUAUUGCAUGCUUAUGUUGUUUUGGUGUGUGGCUUUUCUUGUUUUUGUCCCUCACGAUUAGCAGGCACUGCAACCCAGCGGACCGGGCCUGCCCAACUGAGGAGGGUAACUUAUAUAUGUAUUGAAUUGUAUUUGCCAUUUUUAUACUGGACAUGAAUCGACAUUUUAAACUGUUUCCAAACACUUAUUAAAUAAAGCUGUGUUAUGUUUUUGGAA
Long non-coding RNA from Gymnodraco acuticeps, 807 nucleotides. RefSeq lists it as uncharacterized. The transcript has 3 exons. The record is from RefSeq and is a predicted model, not a curated record. NCBI's taxonomy places the organism in Eukaryota, Metazoa, Chordata, Actinopteri, Perciformes, Bathydraconidae.